AGUGAACGCUGGCGGCAGGCCUAACACAUGCAAGUCGAGCGGCAGCGGGUCGUAGCAAUACGAUGCCGGCGAGCGGCGGACGGGUGAGGAACACAUCGGAAUCUACCCAGUCGUGGGGGAUAACGUAGGGAAACUUACGCUGAUACCGCAUACGACCUGAGGGUGAAAGCAGGGGACCGCAAGGCCUUGCGCGAUUGGAUGAGCCGAUGUCGGAUUAGCUAGUUGGUGGGGUAAAGGCCCACCAAGGCGACGAUCCGUAGCUGGUCUGAGAGGAUGAUCAGCCACACUGGAACUGAGACACGGUCCAGACUCCUACGGGAGGCAGCAGUGGGGAAUAUUGGACAAUGGGCGCAAGCCUGAUCCAGCCAUGCCGCGUGUGUGAAGAAGGCC
Molecule: ribosomal RNA, 390 nt
Filed under: uncultured bacterium
Lineage: Bacteria
Description: bacterial SSU rRNA
Rfam family: Bacterial small subunit ribosomal RNA
Source: RNAcentral